UACGUAGGGGGCGAGCGUUGUCCGGAUUCAUUGGGCGUAAAGCGCGCGUAGGCGGCUUCGCAAGUCGGCCGUGAAAUCUCCGGGCUCAACUCGGAGGGGUCGGGCGAGACUGCGAGGCUCGAGGUGGGCAGAGGGCAGUGGAAUUCCGGGUGUAGUGGUGGAAUGCGUAGAGAUCCGGAGGAACACCAGUGGCGAAGGCGGCUGCCUGGGCCUGGCCUGACGCUGAGGUGCGAGAGCGUGGGGAGCGGAACCGG
Molecule: ribosomal RNA, 254 nt
Filed under: uncultured bacterium
Lineage: Bacteria
Description: partial 16S ribosomal RNA
Rfam family: Bacterial small subunit ribosomal RNA
Source: RNAcentral